RNAcentral lists this ribosomal RNA (253 nucleotides) under uncultured bacterium. Its description in RNAcentral is "partial 16S ribosomal RNA". It matches the Rfam family "Bacterial small subunit ribosomal RNA", at positions 524 to 776 of the family's 1533-position model. The record is from RNAcentral.
UACGUAGGGACCAAGCGUUGUUCGGAUUUACUGGGCGUAAAGGGCGCGUAGGCGGCGUGUUAAGUCAGCUGUGAAAUCUCCAAGCUUAACUUGGAACGGUCAGCUGAUACUGAUGUGCUAGAGUGCAGAAGGGGCAAUCGGAAUUCUUGGUGUAGCGGUGAAAUGCGUAGAUAUCAAGAGGAACACCUGAGGUGAAGACGGGUUGCUGGGCUGACACUGACGCUGAGGCGCGAAAGCUAGGGGAGCAAACGGG